Molecule: long non-coding RNA, 1035 nt
Filed under: Homo sapiens (human)
Lineage: Eukaryota; Metazoa; Chordata; Mammalia; Primates; Hominidae
Description: novel transcript
Source: RNAcentral
AGCUGAAAAUCCUUUGAGAUGGAAGAAAUGGCUGGAACAAAGGGGCAGAGGAACAAAAAGCCCUGAACUGCUUCGCCCCUGCCUCGUGGGGUCUUUAUCAUCUUAAACCUUGGGAUUUGGGCUUUGAUCAACUCGGCCUUCCUGGGCCUCGGGGAGAGAGACGGACUGCCUCCGGGUGCUCAUGACCUUUCCAGCAGUAAGCCAAUAAUGUAUGACUCCUGCGUUGCCGUUGCUCGUUUGAGGAACAUCUGUCCAGUCCCUGGGAUGGUGAGGCUAUAACCACAAAGGAAUAAGAGAAGACGACUAGUUUUGUAAUGGGGACAUUGGCUGCUGUCUUCUGACCCACCCUGUGUGGCUUUGGCGUCUCCUGUGACCUCCCAGUAUGGGUCUUGGCCUCAUCCUGCCUCUUUGUCUUUCUGGCCCACCACCCACAGCUUGAAUCUCAGGCUCCAACAGUUGCCUGACCCCCAGAUUCUGAUGACAGCCUACCUACUUGUUCUUCAGGCCCUCACCAGACUCACUGCCCAGACACACCACACAGGAGAACAUGAAAGGUGUACCCUUGCUGUAGAUGCCACCCGCCCAGCAGUCCUCAUCAUCUUGGCCCAGGAUCACCUGAAACAGAUGAUCCUCCUUUUGAGCUACCAUCAGAAGGUCCACAGUACUAGCCCAGCGCUACAUCCCAAUGCCUACGCCAUUCAUCUCACCUCAUCUCAUCACGUAGACAUUUCAUCAUGUCACAUCAUCACAAGAAGGGAAUCUAUUCACAAAUAAGGUUUUGUGGAUUCAACAGCUUUACUGAAGAUAUGUAGAUUGUUGUUAGCGCUUCCUACCUUGCACAGCCUCUUGUCCCGUCACUGGCCCCAUGCAUCUUCCUCUGCUGCCUUCAAGAAGCUCCAGAUCCUGCCACAGACGUGCUCCACUCAGAGGACUGGAGUCCAAUCCCCUGACAGUGCUUUUCUCUUUGGGAAGCACCCCCUCCCCCACUGCCAUUAAACCUCUGGAAUUCUAUGGAAUAAAGUAAACAUUAACUUA